AACGCUGGCGGCGUGCCUAACACAUGCAAGUCGAACGGACGAGAAGAGCUUGCUCUUCGAGUUAGUGGCGGACGGGUGAGUAACGCGUGAGCAAUCUGCCUUUCAGAGGGGGAUAACAUUGGGAAACCGGUGCUAAUACCGCAUGAUGUGUGAGGGUCGCAUGACUCUUGUACCAAAGGAGCAAUCCGCUGAAAGAUGAGCUCGCGUCUGAUUAGAUAGUUGGUGAGGUAACGGCUCACCAAGGCGACGAUCAGUAGCCGGUCUGAGAGGAUGAACGGCCACAUUGGGACUGAGAUACGGCCCAGACUCCUACGGGAGGCAGCAGUGAGGAAUAUUGGUCAAUGGACGGAAGUCUGAACCAGCCAAGUAGCGUGAAGGAUGACUGCCCUAUGGGUUGUAAACUUCUUUUGUCGUGGAACAAAACCUGCCACGUGUGGCAUUUUGCGUGUACACGUUGAAUAAGCAUCGGCUAACUCCGUG
RNAcentral lists this ribosomal RNA (480 nucleotides) under uncultured bacterium. RNAcentral describes it as "bacterial SSU rRNA". It matches the Rfam family "Bacterial small subunit ribosomal RNA", at positions 32 to 507 of the family's 1533-position model. The record is from RNAcentral.